UGUAAUACUCCCUAUUGGGCAUUAAAGCUC
Molecule: non-coding RNA, 30 nt
Filed under: Rattus norvegicus (Norway rat)
Lineage: Eukaryota; Metazoa; Chordata; Mammalia; Rodentia; Muridae
Source: RNAcentral